GACGAACGCUGGCGGCGUGCUUAACACAUGCAAGUCGAACGAUGAAGCCCUUCGGGGUGGAUUAGUGGCGAACGGGUGAGUAACACGUGGGCGAAUACUGCCCUUCCACUCUGGGACGAAGCCCUCGGAAACGGGGUACGUAAUACCGGAUAUGACACACGGCCGCAUGGUCUGUGUGUGGAAAGCUCCGGCGGUGAAGGAUGAGCCCGCGGCCUAUCAGCUUGUUGGUGGGGUGANGGCCUACCAAGGCGACGACGGGUAGCCGGCCUGAGAGGGCGACCGGCCACACUGGGACUGAGACACGGCCCAGA
This 311-nucleotide ribosomal RNA is filed under the name uncultured bacterium. Its description in RNAcentral is "bacterial SSU rRNA". It matches the Rfam family "Bacterial small subunit ribosomal RNA", at positions 28 to 335 of the family's 1533-position model. The record is from RNAcentral.